CAUAUCAAUAAGCGGAGGAAAAGAAACCAACAGGGAUUGCCCUAGUAACGGCGAGUGAAGCGGCAACAGCUCAAAUUUGAAAUCUGGCUCCUUCGGGGUCCGAGUUGUAAUUUGCAGAGGGUGCUUUGGCAUCGGCGGCGGUCUAAGUUCCUUGGAACAGGACAUCGCAGAGGGUGAGAAUCCCGUACGUGGGCGCCUGCCUUUGCCGUGUAAAGCCCCUUCGACGAGUCGAGUUGUUUGGGAAUGCAGCUCUAAAUGGGAGGUAAAUUUCUUCUAAAGCUAAAUACCGGCCAGAGACCGAUAGCGCACAAGUAGAGUGAUCGAAAGAUGAAAAGUACUUUGGAAAGAGAGUCAAAUAGCACGUGAAAUUGUUGAAAGGGAAGCGCUUGCAGCCAGACUUGCCCGCAGUUGCUCACCCAGGCUCCGGCCUGGGGCACUCUUCUGCGGGCAGGCCAGCAUCAGUUUGGGCGGUUGGAUAAAGGCCUCUGUCACGUAUCUCCCUUCGGGGUGACCUUAUAGGGGAGGCGCAAUGCAACCAGCCCGGACUGAGGUCCGCGCAUCUGCUAGG
This 568-nucleotide ribosomal RNA is filed under the name Dendrothyrium sp. RNAcentral's name for it is "eukaryotic LSU rRNA". It matches the Rfam family "Eukaryotic large subunit ribosomal RNA", at positions 39 to 622 of the family's 3401-position model. The record is from RNAcentral. Lineage: Eukaryota; Fungi; Ascomycota; Dothideomycetes; Pleosporales; Didymosphaeriaceae.